GCAACACUGUGGUGACAACCCGAGGUUGGUCCUUGGAACCCAUGGAAAAAGCUGGCAUGGGAGCCUACAUGUGCCUUCCAGCUCUCUGCAAUCAAGAGGAGAAGUAGAGACAGGAGAAUGGCUCUGAAGCUCACAGGCUAGCCUGGGGUACAUGGCAGCAGAAACAAGAGAAGUAGAAGAGGUGUAGAUGACGUGAACACUUUGGGGGCGAUGAGGAAAACGGAGGAAAAAGCUUUUAUACUCACACUUGUCCCAGAGGAAGCCAGAGGAAACAUGGGGUUUGACUGAGCAAAGGCCCUUGUUGGAAUGGCUGCAUAUGAUGUUCCAAGAUUCGAGAAUCUAUUCUCAGCAUGGCAACCAGCAUCUUGUUCUGAGGUCCCGGGGCAUCACUCCUUCCUUUAAAGCUCCUAUCAGCUUCAGUCACGCCCACAGCAGCAGCAGCAGCAGCAGCAACAACAACAACAACAGUCUUCACAACAGCCCUGGUCAGAGUUGAUGCUGCCCUGUAUCCCAGGUCCACAACCUCUAUAGGGCCUUCAAACCUCUAAAACCAGUUGUGUCAGGUAAGAGUGCACUUGCCUCAUACAACCACCUCUCCUGAGGUGACCUCAGUAAGGUGUCACCCAGAUGCUCCAUUUGCAAUGCAAUGUGUCCAAGAGCAAUGCAAUGUGUCCCACCCCCACCCCCCAUCAUUUGAGCUCACGUGCUCGCCUGAAGUGGAAGCUUCUGGAUGGCAGGGAAUUCUCCCCCUGCUUGGCUCUCUGCGGUUUCCCUGUGCCCAGCCCAGCAGGA
Long non-coding RNA from Grammomys surdaster, 792 nucleotides. RefSeq lists it as uncharacterized. Lineage: Eukaryota; Metazoa; Chordata; Mammalia; Rodentia; Muridae. The transcript is spliced from 3 exons. The record is from RefSeq and is a predicted model, not a curated record.